RNAcentral lists this ribosomal RNA (874 nucleotides) under uncultured bacterium. Its description in RNAcentral is "bacterial SSU rRNA". It matches the Rfam family "Bacterial small subunit ribosomal RNA", at positions 26 to 896 of the family's 1533-position model. The record is from RNAcentral.
AGAACGAACGCUGGCGGCGUGGCUAAGGCAUGCAAGUCGAACGGACCCUUUCAAGGAGUAAUCCGAGAAUUGGUUAGUGGCGAACGGGUGAGGAAUACUUGGACAACGUACCCCGAACUCAGGGAUAGCGGCGGGCUUCGGCCCUUUGCGAAAGUGCCGGUAAUACCUGAUGACCCCGCGUGAUCGCAUGAUCGUGCGGGCAAAGCUCCGACGGUUCGGGACCGGUUCAAGUCCUAUCAGCUUGUUGGUGGGGUAACGGCCUACCAAGGCAUCGACGGGUACCGGGCGUGAGAGCGUGACCCGGCACAUCGGAACUGAGACACUGUCCGGACACCUACGGGUGGCUGCAGCAACGAAUAUUCCGCAAUGGACGCAAGUCUGACGGAGCGACGCCGCGUGCAGGAAGAAGUCCCUCGGGAUGUAAACUGCUGUCAGGGGUUAGGAACACCGACCAGCCCCAAAGGAAGCACUGGCUAACUCCGUGCCAGCAGCCGCGGUAAUACGGAGAGUGCAAGCGUUGUUCGGAAUUACUGGGCUUAAAGAGCAUGUAGGCGGGAUGUCAAGUGUCGGGUGAAAACCCCAGGCUCAACCUGGGAACUGCCCGGCAAACUGGCAUUCUUGAGGUAGGUAGAGGUGACUGGAACAACUGGUGGAGCGGUGAAAUGCGUAGAUAUCAGUUGGAACGCCGGCGGCGAAAGCGAGUCACUGGACCUAUCCUGACGCUGAGAUGCGAAAGCGUGGGUAGCGAACGGGAUUAGAUACCCCGGUAGUCCACGCCGUAAACGAUGCGCACUAGGUAUGGGAGGUUUUGACGCCGACCGUGCCGAAGCAAAAGUGGUAAGUGCGCCGCCUGGGGAGUACGGCCGCAAGGCUA